GAAGUGCAGACUAAAUGAGAAGGACAUGGCCAAAAGGAGCCAGGGAUUGGCCCAUGGAGGCAUUAUCAAGAGACUCCCAUCUUCAGAAAGGGCAUUGAGAGAGUUAAACAUUUCAAUUGCAACCAAUACAGAGAGUGAGAGAGUUGUGGCUUUCACUUUGCCUCCCUGGAAGUAAUCACACGGGUUAUUUUCGAAGGAUAAAACCCGAGCUCCAGCGGUGAAGGGUGAUACAGAAAAAUUUUCCCAGGAUGAGCAUUGAUCCCAGUUGGUUAGUUGCGAGUAUGUAACAAGGGUGUGGCCAUCUCCAGUAAGGUUAAUUCCCAAGAAGGAUUCAUGGGUGUACCAAAUGACGAAUACGCCUACAGUUGCUAUCCCUACAUAAAUCCCAGUGACCUGGAGAGUAAUCAAGAGGGAAAUUAUUCAAGAUCAGGUAAAAUCCAGAAAAAAAUGUCCACUGUGAAGAUUAACCAAAUUUUAAAUUAAGCUUCAAUCGCACCAGAUAGCGGAAUAAAAUCCAG
RNAcentral lists this unclassified non-coding RNA (518 nucleotides) under Hevea brasiliensis (rubber tree). Lineage: Eukaryota; Viridiplantae; Streptophyta; Magnoliopsida; Malpighiales; Euphorbiaceae. The record is from RNAcentral.